UCGUAACAAGGUUUUUUGGAAGUAAAAGUCGUAACAAGGUUUCCGUAGGUGAACCUGCGGAAGGAUCAUUACCUAGAGUUGUAGGCUUUGCCUGCUAUCUCUUACCCAUGUCUUUUGAGUACCUUACGUUUCCUCGGUGGGUUCGCCCACCGAUUGGACAAAUUUAAACCCUUUGCAGUUGAAAUCAGCGUCUGAAAAAACUUAAUAGUUACAACUUUCAACAACGGAUCUCUUGGUUCUGGCAUCGAUGAAGAACGCAGCGAAAUGCGAUAAGUAGUGUGAAUUGCAGAAUUCAGUGAAUCAUCGAAUCUUUGAACGCACAUUGCGCCCCUUGGUAUUCCAUGGGGCAUGCCUGUUCGAGCGUCAUUUGUACCUUCAAGCUCUGCUUGGUGUUGGGUGUUUGUCUCCUGUAGACUCGCCUUAAAACAAUUGGCAGCCGGCGUAUUGAUUUCGGAGCGCAGUACAUCUCGCGCUUUGCACUCAUAACGACGACAUCCAAAAGUACAUUUUUACACUCUUGACCUCGGAUCAGGUAGGGAUACCCGCUGAACUU
Molecule: ribosomal RNA, 553 nt
Filed under: Epicoccum sorghinum
Lineage: Eukaryota; Fungi; Ascomycota; Dothideomycetes; Pleosporales; Didymellaceae
Description: eukaryotic LSU rRNA
Rfam family: 5.8S ribosomal RNA (bases 213-366)
Source: RNAcentral